RNAcentral lists this ribosomal RNA (480 nucleotides) under uncultured bacterium. RNAcentral's name for it is "partial 16S ribosomal RNA". It matches the Rfam family "Bacterial small subunit ribosomal RNA", at positions 28 to 507 of the family's 1533-position model. The record is from RNAcentral.
GACGAACGCUGGCGGCGUGCUUAACACAUGCCAGUCGAACGAUGAAGAAAAGAAUCGAAGCUUCGGCAGAAAUUCAUUUCGGAUUAGUGGCAGACGGGUGAGUAACGCGUGAGCAACCUACCUCUUACAAAGGGAUAGCCUCGGGAAACCGGGAUUAAUACCAUAUAACAUUGUGACGAAGCAUUUCGAUGCAAUCAAAGCUACGGCGGUAAGAGAUGGGCUCGCGUCCCAUUAACCGGAUGGUGAGGUAACGGCUCACCAUAGUGACGAUGGGUAACCGGGCUGGGGAGGUGGACGGUCCCACUGGAACUGGGGACCCGUCCCAAAUCCUACGGGAGGGCGGCAUGGGGAAUAUUGCACAAUGGAGGGAACUCUGAUGCAGCGACGCCGCGUGAGUGAUGAAGGAAUUCGUUUCGUAAAACUCUGUUCUAUGGGAAGAAAAGGACUGUACCAUAGGAGAAAGCUCCGGCUAAAUACGUG